This 75-nucleotide antisense RNA is filed under the name Actinoalloteichus sp. GBA129-24. RNAcentral describes it as "ASpks TB sRNA". It matches the Rfam family "ASpks TB sRNA". The record is from RNAcentral. Lineage: Bacteria; Bacillati; Actinomycetota; Actinomycetes; Pseudonocardiales; Pseudonocardiaceae. RNAcentral also lists the same sequence under 1 other name.
CUUCACCGAGCCCAACCACAACGGCUGUCCGUCCGGCCGAUCCCGCCCGUAGGUCGCCAACAGCGCCUGCGCCUC